UCCCUGGAGGACUAGCGGUUAGGCCACGGCACUCUCACCGCUGUGGCUCGGGUUCGAUUCCUGGCUAGGGAA
Molecule: transfer RNA, 72 nt
Filed under: Pangasianodon hypophthalmus (striped catfish)
Lineage: Eukaryota; Metazoa; Chordata; Actinopteri; Siluriformes; Pangasiidae
Rfam family: tRNA
About the family: Transfer RNA (tRNA) molecules are approximately 80 nucleotides in length. Their secondary structure includes four short double-helical elements and three loops (D, anti-codon, and T loops).
Source: Rfam by way of RNAcentral